Tachysurus vachellii is the source of this 7055-nucleotide RNA transcript. It is a transcript of the gene named anaphase promoting complex subunit 1, with no coding region annotated. The transcript is spliced from 49 exons. The record is from RefSeq and is a predicted model, not a curated record. Lineage: Eukaryota; Metazoa; Chordata; Actinopteri; Siluriformes; Bagridae.
UAGCAGUCCAAUCACUCGCUGUGAUUGGCUGCUCUCGGUGCAGAGGCUCACGGGAUUGCAAAGAUGUCCGCGUUCUUUUGAAAGUCUGUUUUUUACUUCAUUUUCACUGCUUAUCAUUAGUUUUUAGUUAGUUUCAUUAUCGGUCUAGUACAUUUUGGUGAUAUCCACUGAAAGAAAGGACGGGACUCCAAGACAAGAGCCAGACUAUUCCUUAUUACCAGAAAUAAAAUGCUGAUAUUGGGGACUCAUGUCGAACGUGCAUGAAGAGAGAGCUGCCAUGAUGAUAGCCGCUGGGGAACUGCAGCCGUUUGUCCCGUUCGGCCGUGAGCACUGCCAACGCCACCCAAGCGCCGUGAACCUCCAGCUGCGCCAGCUGCAGCCUGCCCCCGAGCUCUGGUGCUCUGAUGGAACGGCCGGACUAGUGGGCUCCUUGCAGGAGGUCAGCCUCCAGGAGAGAGAGAAACAGGAGUCCUGGCAGCUGAGGAAAAGCUCAGCUGUGUUGAGUGAUGAAGCAGAGUAUGAAGAGGAGCUGUAUGUAGCCGGACACAUGGUCAUCUGGAGCCGUGGGACCAAAAGUCAAUCUUCAUAUGUUUACAAGGCUUUCACUGUGGACAGUCCCGUUCAGCAGGCCCUGUGGUGUAAUUUCACUGUUCCUCAAUCCCGGAAAGAGGAAAAGGACACGGUUGAACAGAGUGUCUGCAUCGUUCAAAGCUCAUGUGUGAAUGUACACUCUGUGAGUGGGAAGGACUUCAUCUCCCCAUUGCCGUUUCAGGUCUCCUUUUUGUGGCCCACUAAGUUUGGAUUGCUUUUUGAGCGCAAAAAUGUCACAUCUGAUGCUCCACUGAGCCCCUCAAGGGAGCCUCUUCCGACACUAUUUAGCAUGCUCCACCCUCUGGAUGAAAUAGCCCCUGUUGUCUGCAAGUCUACAGCAGGGCUGUUUGAGACGCAGCGGCUGCAGUAUGUAUCUGACAGCGCGCUUCAAGUGGUGUUCUCCUGUGCAGAACCCUCCAUCAUCAUGACCUAUGACACACAGCAGUGCAGUCAUACUAUCUGGGCUUUGCGCAAAGUCACACCAGAGGAGCAGUCUACGGUUUUGAAGUGUCCCAGUCAGGAUGGGUCGACUCAGACCCCCACAGCCGCGCCCACUUUCCUUGGCACCCACCUGAGGAGCAUGAGCCGGCUAGACUCCCCUGGCUCGCCCCUGCACUGUCAUGCGCUGCAUAACCAGAGCCGCGUGCCCGCCUCACCCGCACUGCACUCCCGUGCACACUCUCCCAGUAUCUCCAACAUGGCUGCUCUCAGCCGUGCUCACUCCCCUGGCAUGGCUGCACCUUCUUUUACGGGAGCACAGCGCUUCAACAUGUCAUGCCACUCACCGUCAGCCCGCGGACACAGCCUGCUAACAUCCCCCAACAGCACCCUGAAUGAAACAGCACUAAUGCCUGAGAUGGAGCCCAUCCUGCCUGACCUCUGCAUUGAGCAGCUGUGGACAGAGACUAUUAGUUCCUACAGGGAGAAGACCUGCCAGGCAUCCAAAGUGUUCAUUACUUCUGACCUGUGUGAGAACAGAUAUCUGUGUUUCCUGGUUGAAUCCCACCAGCAGCUCAGAUGCGUCAAGUUUCUUGAAAGCAAUGAAACUUCCCAGCUCAUAUUUGCUUCAGUUACCUCCAUUCCGGCCAAAGAUGCGGCACCUUUGGCGGACAUAGAUGCUUUGCUGGUAUUAGAAAACAAUGGCAGCUUGGUCUUGUACACCGGAGUCACACAGGUGAGCAAAGUGUUUGUCCCAGGUCUUCUGUCACCAACCUUCAGUUUGCCAAACACCCUGCCGCACUUAAACACCCCUUUGGAGAACGUGAGCACUCCAGCAAAAGCAACCGUCCACCAUAUGAGCAGGCUCCCAGAGUCCGACAUGCCUUCUCCGGUGUCAGAGAUGAGAACAGUGCAGCAUCAUGAGUCAUCGUGGCUAGAGGAUUCUCCGUUCCAGCAGGCAACGCCACAUAUCCAAGCCCUGCGAGACCCAGUCAGCAACCGUCUCACACUGGAGCUGAGCAAUGGCUCAAUGCUGAGGAUCACCAUUCCUGAAGUGGCUACAUCAGAGCUGGUGAAACGAUCCCUGCAAGCCAUUCGGUUCAUUUUGCCCAAAGACACAGCUAUGAAGGUGUUGGUAAAGUGGUACAAUGUUUACAACGCCCCCGGAGGCCCCAGCAUGCAUCAGGAGUGGAAUCUGUUUGUCACAUGCCUGAUGACACUGAUGGGCUACAACACGGAGCGGCUGUCAUGGACGCGGAACGUCAGUAACCUGCUUUUUGAAGUGCCCCUCUCACCGGUAAUUGCUCCCAAGAAGGCACGUCCAGCAGAUACAGGGUCUGACGAAGACUGGACAUACCUCUGUAGCUCAGACUACCACAGCCAGGUGUCCGUGUAUCCAGCCCCAGGCAUGUCCAGUCUACAUGCAGUAGUGUCUGCUGGUAUCAUGACUGAGAGCGGGCCGGCAGCAGGGCUGGAGCCCUCAGCUCUGCUCUUCACCCACAUCCCAGCACUUUUCUAUGUGCUCCAUCUGCUGUAUGAGGACUUGAAACUGGACGAGCUCCAAUGUAGCGGCGCCCGUGCCCUCGUGGGCCUCCUCCAACAGAUGGCCAGGGACCUGGAGCAGGAGGAAUACAUUGAUUUGUACUGGCGUGAUUACCCCUCAUUCAUCAAAAGCUUCAAGGAAACCUGCAAGAUAGAUCAGGCUCAGAUGGAGUUGAUGAGCUGGCCAGCUUACUUGAAUGGCGAAGUGCCAUGUGUAUUUGCGUGGCUAAGCAGCUGUCUGAGGGGACAGGAAGUGCCCCCAUUUCCAUAUCUGCCUGGCAUUUGUGAGAGGACCAAACUGAUUGUGUUGAGCUAUGCGCUAUAUGUAGUGGAAGAUGAAAAUGCUACUUCAUCUAAUGUGUCUAAGUACCUGUCCCGGCUCUCUGCAGGGCAGAAGAAGGGUUUCACCGAGCCUGCCCUAAGAAGACAGAGCAGUGUAAAGCAUAGUUCUCCAGCAGGCUGUCUCGCAGAGAAACUGGUGGUGUGGUUGACCUCUGAAGGCUUUAUGCUGAAGGAUCUGGAGUCUGUGCCUUUUGGUGUGGCGCUGCCUAUCCGUGAUGCCAUCGUCCAGUGCAGAGAGCAUCCCUGCUCCGAUUGGUCUGAAGAGGUCUGUGCUCUGAUUGGACGACAGGACUUAACCAAGCAGGCUCACAAGGUUUCCCUAGCCAAAGGAAAACCGAUGGUAGCCCUAAAUGAGCCACUAGAAUCUCCAAUAACGAGUGAGGCAGAUGAGGAAGAGGAUGGCAUGACAGAUCUUCACCCAGAGGUGACAGGACUGAUCUGGAGCCGUGACCUUCGUGUUCAAGAGGUUCGCCGGUUGCUCCAAAGCUCCAGACCUGUGCGGGUCAAUGUCCCCCACCUGCCAGAGGUCAGCGACCAUGAGUAUAUUGAGGAGAAGGAGAACAAACUUCUCCAGCUGUGCCAGCGCACCAUGGCUCUCCCUGUGGGUCGAGGACUCUUCACACUGUUUUCGUACCAUCCAGUACCGACCGAGCCCCUGCCUGUGCCCAAGCUCAACCUGACUGGACGAGCUCCACCCAGGAACACCACCGUGGACCUGAACAGUGGCAAUGUAGAUGUGCCACCCAACAUGGCAAGCUGGCCCAGCUUUCACAACGGUGUGGCAGCAGGCUUGAAGAUUGCGCCAGCAUCGCGUGUCGAAUCGGCCUGGAUCGCCUACAACAAACCCAAGAGCACAGAGCUUGCCAACGAGUACGCAGGCUUCCUAAUGGCGCUCGGCCUUAACGGCCACCUCACCAAACUUGCCACGCUAAACAUCCACGACUAUCUAACUAAGGGCCAUGAGAUGACAAGCAUAGGGCUCUUGUUGGGUGUUUCAGCAGCUAAGCUGGGCACUAUGGACAUGUCAGUCACACGCCUGCUGAGCAUCCAUGUGCCCGCCCUGCUUCCACCCACUUCCACUGAACUGGAUGUGCCACACAGCGUGCAGGUGGCAGCAGUGGUGGGUAUCGGCCUUGUGUACCAGGGUACUGGACACCGCCAUAAUGCUGAGGUGCUGCUUGCUGAGAUAGGCCGUCCUCCCGGGCCUGAAAUGGAAUACUGCUCAGACAGAGAGUCCUACUCUCUAGCAGCAGGCCUGGCACUUGGCAUGGUUUGCCUUGGGCAUGGGAGUAACCUGAUCGGCAUGACAGACCUGAAUGUGCCGGAGCAGCUUUACCAGUACAUGGUGGGAGGACACCGACGCACACACACCGGCAUUAACCGAGAGAAGCAUAAAUCCCCAAGCUACCAGAUAAAGGAAGGUGACACGAUCAAUGUGGAUGUGACCUGCCCUGGUGCCACCUUGGCUCUUGCUAUGAUCUAUCUUAAAACCAACAAUAGGUCUAUAGCCGAUUGGUUGAAAGCCCCAGACACCAUGUUCCUUCUGGACUUCAUCAAGCCUGAAUUUCUGCUGCUAAGGACUCUGGCCAGAUGCCUCAUCAUGUGGGAUGAGAUACUGCCUAAUGAGGAAUGGGUGACUAGCAAUGUGCCUCAGAUAAUUCAAGAGAACAUCGGACUUCAGGAGGAAGCACUGGUAUCUGAGGAUCUGAACAUGGAAACUUUGGUACAAGCUCAUGAUUAUAUCAUCGCUGGGGCCUGCAUGGCUGUGGGUUUUAGAUUUGCUGGAUCUGCAAAUUCUGAUGCCUUUGACUGCCUGUACAAGUUUGCCCGAAACUUCAUGAAGUCUCUCACUAGCACUACGUCUACAGCUACAGUUUCUGGGCAGUAUAACCUGCAGACAUGUCUGAGCAUGGUGCUUUUGGCCACUUCCAUGGUCAUGGCCGGCUCAGGGAACCUAAAGGUGCUUCAGCUCUGCCGUUUUCUGCACAAGCGUACUUUCGGUGAGAUGAACUACGGAUUCCAUAUGGCUCACCACAUGGCCUUGGGCCUACUCUUUCUCGGAGGAGGCAGGUACACACUCAGCACCUCAAACUCCGCCAUUGCUGCCCUUCUCUGUGCUCUUUAUCCUCACUUUCCGGCUCAUAGCACAGAUAAUAGGUAUCAUCUCCAGGCCUUGCGUCACCUCUGUGUGCUGGCAGCUGAGCCUCGGUUACUCGUUCCUGUGGACGUAGACACUCUGAAACCGUGUUAUGCCUUGCUUGACGUCACCUACAAGGAAACACAGUGGUAUGAGGAGACAACUGUGGAAUUGAUGGCUCCCACUAUGCUCCCCGAACUUCAUCUCCUGAAACAGAUUAAAGUGAAGGGUCCAAGAUACUGGGAACUGAACAUCGAUCUGACAAAAGGAACUCCGCAUCUGCAGUCCAUCCUUUCCAGAGACGGUGUUCUUUACGUGAAGCUGCGUGCUGGACAGCUGCCCUAUAAGGAUGAUCCUCGGGGUUGGAAAAGUCUGCUGGCUGCUAGUGUGAACAACAGAAACCCAGAAGUGCGCACUUUCAAGCCUGAAGCCAUUUCAACAUUCACGUCAGACGCUGCCUUGGUUUCCUUUGCAAAGUACUUCUGUGAAGCCUCGGAAAACAUGAAGAAUAAACAGGAGACCGUUGCCUUAUUCUCAGCUAUACUGUAUGAAUGUGUGACCCAGGAAAAUCCAGAGAUGCUGCCCACUCAUAUCUCUAUUGAUCAGGUUGUGAAGGCUCUGGAGCAGGGUGACCUGAGUGAGACCUUCUCUCUGUGGCAGAUGAAGUUAGUGCUGGAGCUCUGUGAGAGCAGAAUAUUACAGCAGAGACUGCGGGACACGCAAAGGCAAAGCCGAGGUCUGCUGCUAAGUUCCGAGUUCCUGCCCGUCAUGAAGAGCUCAGCCGACCAGGCCCUAGACCGCUGGCUCUGUGACAACAGGCAUGUGCUACAGGAGUACGUUAGAAGGCAGUCUACCAGUGACGAUACAGACACCAGCAUUUUAGCCUGCUUCUUGGUCUAUCACUCAAUUCCUAGCUUCAGGAAGAUGGCCACAGUAGACCUUGAUGGAUGCUCCUCUUUCCCUGAGCUGCUGUUGAAGUUCAGUCAGUUGGGCGUUCCUGUUCGAGGCCUGCUGCAUGUCAGUCCUUUGCUCUUACAGGAUGGUGGCUCGGCGAUAUUACAACACUUUUCCUCUGACCCACAGAAGACAUGAACAUAACAUGUUCCUUUUACAAAUGUCUUCCAAGGGAGACUCCAACACAACUAACAUGAAAUCCUUUCUGGGAUAUUUAAAGGAUGGCCCAGGUUUCAUGGCCACUAGAGAAAGACCCGAUCUAUUCUACAAGCUACAUUUCUACACACCUAACAAAUCUGAGGAACAGGUCAUCUCAGGUAUCCAUGUUUUUGGAUCUGUAUGCUGCAUCUAUACAUUUAAUGAUAUGUAUAUAUCUAUAAGCUAUAUAUUGCUAUAUCUAUAUGUUGCUAUAUCUGAGCAACAGAUAAUCAUGAUGAGUUGAUGUGAAACCCUGAUAGCAAUGAUAACUGAAGUUGAGUAAUGAAAGGAGCAAAUAAAUAUUACCCUGAAAAAAACAUGCUCGUCGUGACAUUUGUCUGUUUCUGUGGUCUGUGUCGGGACCCGAAAGUGUUUGUUUUAAUGGUGUUUACAUUUGAUGUGUCCUCCUACUUGUCUAUCAGUUGGUUGAGAUGUGGUUUAGAACAAACACUAUGCAUUCCCAGACUCUGAGAACGCAUGUAAUGUUUUCAAAUGUCACUCUCUCUCUCUCUCUCUCUCUCUCACGCACGCACACCUACAUGUACACAUGAUCAGACACAUGCUGAGCAGGAGGCAGUAUGUUUUUAAACAUAUCAAUAGAAAUAGCUUGUGAACAGCAAAUAAGUCAAAUGCCUAUGCAGAACUACAGAACCAUGCAAAAGUCUUAGAAAUGUAGAAAGCUGCUCUGUAAAAAAUACAAUUUCUAAAUAUUUAAAGCAUUCUUUAUUUAAUACAAAGAGCAGAAUAAUAAUGAAAGGGGAUGGUAGAUUGUCAAAAGCAUCAAAAGGAGAAUUUGAGAUGAUUUUAUCUCUAUUAAUCCUUAAUGUAUUUUUUUUAUUAAAAAUGAAAAGUG